Molecule: RNA transcript, 376 nt
Organism: Nannospalax galili (Upper Galilee mountains blind mole rat)
Lineage: Eukaryota; Metazoa; Chordata; Mammalia; Rodentia; Spalacidae
Gene name: transcription initiation factor IIA subunit 2 pseudogene
Exons: 1
Source: RefSeq, a predicted model, not a curated record
AAUGCAAUUCUAAAGACAAAGCAUUGGCUUCCUUCUAAGCCAUGGAAUAUCAGUUAUACAGAAAUACAACUUUGGGAAACAGUCUUCAAGAGAGCCUUGAUGAGCUCAUACAGUCUCAACAGAUCACCCCCCAACUUGCCCUUCGAGUUCUACUUCAGUUUGAUACAGUUAAAAAUUCAGCAUUGGCUAGAGGGUCAGGAACAGAGUCAAUUUCAGGGGCUCUCUAAAUACAGACAGAUUCUGCGAUAAUGUCUGGACUUUUGUAUUGAAUGAUGUUGAAUUCAGAGAAGUGACAGAGCUUAUUAAAGUGGACAAAGUGAAAAUUGUAGCCUGUGAUGGUAAAAAUACUGGCUCCAAUACUACCGAAUGAAUAGAG